CUCAGACGAACGCUGGCGGCGUGGAUUAGGCAUGCAAGUCGAGCGACGGACAGUCUUCGGACUGUUACGGAGCGGCGAACGGGUGAGUAACACGUGAAUAACCUGCCCAUAUGUUCCGGAUAAUUGGUCGAAAGACCUUGUAAUACGGGGGAGGAUCGGUCUUUGGCAUCUUAGACCGAGGGAAGUCGCAAGACGCAUAUGGAGGGGUUCGCGGAUUAUCAGGUAGUUGGUGGGGUAACGGCCUACCAAGCCUACGACGAUUAGCUGGUCUGAGAGGAUGGUCAGCCACAUUGGAACUGAGACACUGUCCAGACUCCUACGGGAGGCUGCAGUCGAGAAUCUUGGUCAAUGCACGAAAGUGUGAACCAGCGACGCCGCGUGAAGGAUGAAGGCCUCUGGGUCGUAAACUUCUUUUACGGGAGAAGAACACAAUGACGGUUCCCGUGAAUAAGCCACG
This 457-nucleotide ribosomal RNA is filed under the name uncultured bacterium. Its description in RNAcentral is "bacterial SSU rRNA". It matches the Rfam family "Bacterial small subunit ribosomal RNA", at positions 28 to 495 of the family's 1533-position model. The record is from RNAcentral.